UGCGUAGGCGGCCCGGGAAGUUGGGUGUGAAAGCCCUCGGCUCAACCGAGGAAUUGCGCCCAAAACUGCCGGGCUUGAGGGAGAUAUAGGUGAGCGGAACUUAGGGUGGAGCGGUGAAAUGCGUUGAGAUCCUAAGGAACACCAGUAGCGAAAGCGGCUCACUGGGUCUCUACUGACGCUGAAGCACGAAAGCUAGGGGAGCGAAGAGGAUUAGAUACCCUCGUAGUCCUAGCUGUAAACAAUGAGCACUGGUUUGGAGGGUCCUCCAUAGCCUUCCAGACGUAGCGAAAGUGUUAAGUGCUCCGCCUGGGGAGUAUGGUCGCAAGGCUGAA
RNAcentral lists this ribosomal RNA (332 nucleotides) under uncultured bacterium. Its description in RNAcentral is "bacterial SSU rRNA". It matches the Rfam family "Bacterial small subunit ribosomal RNA", at positions 568 to 898 of the family's 1533-position model. The record is from RNAcentral.